UUGAACGCUGGCGGCAUGCCUUACACAUGCAAGUCGAACGGCAGCACGGGAGCUUGCUCCUGGUGGCGAGUGGCGAACGGGUGAGUAAUGCAUCGGAACGUGCCAUUGAGUGGGGGAUAACGUAGCGAAAGUUGCGCUAAUACCGCAUAUUCUGUGAGCAGGAAAGCAGGGGACCGCAAGGCCUUGCGCUCUUUGAGCGGCCGAUGUCAGAUUAGCUAGUUGGUGAGGUAACGGCUUACCAAGGCGACGAUCUGUAGCGGGUCUGAGAGGAUGAUCCGCCACACUGGAACUGAGACACGGUCCAGACUCCUACGGGAGGCAGCAGUGGGGAAUUUUGGACAAUGGGCGCAAGCCUGAUCCAGCAAUGCCGCGUGAGUGAAGAAGGCCUUCGGGUUGUAAAGCUCUUUCGGCCGGGAAGAAAUCGCAUGGGUUAAUACCCUGUGUGGAUGACGGUACCGGAAUAAGAAGCACCGGCUAACUACGUG
Molecule: ribosomal RNA, 485 nt
Filed under: uncultured bacterium
Lineage: Bacteria
Description: bacterial SSU rRNA
Rfam family: Bacterial small subunit ribosomal RNA
Source: RNAcentral